UCCAGAGCAUUAGCAAUUUUUUAUUUUUCCUUUUUUGUUGCAUAGGAAAUGCAGUACUUGCUUCCAGUAAUUGUAUCGUAAUGUGAGAAGGUGGUAGCACUAAUGGUUGAAUACAAGAGUUAAACUAAUCCACACCAGCUCAAAAAACCUGUGGAGAUUUAGUUGAAUAAGAAUGGACGCCCACAGUGAUUCUCAACCAAUUACAAAUUUUCACAGAACACAGUAAAACUAAAAGGGUAGCUAUGAGAGUCAAUACAAGUAUACUAGAGGCACAGGGGGCCCGGCUCAUAAAAACAAAUGUCAAACCAAGUUAUUAACACGGGGGGGUGUUUAGUUUCACAACAGAUCUCUUUUCAUCUCUGGAAGUGUUCGGUGCCCUCCCCCCGCAAUUUGAAAUGAAAAACCCGAGGUAUCUUGAAUGGGCAGAUUUCCAAGGGUGGUGGGAAAGGUCCCCAGGGAACCUUGUUCUGCGUAACAGGUCAGAGGUGUAGGGAAGGGGGAUCAUGUAUUUGACUUGGAGAGUCUCUCGUGAGGACCUCCUAGGACCCGACAAAGCUCCAGCUCUUGGUCUAGUAAGUAUCUCAGGAUAACACUACCAAAUGCCUUCACAGUGCAGACAGGCUGGUCUGAGACCAGGGAGAAAAAAAUGAACCUGGCAGGUCUCUCAAACCUCCAUCCCCACAUAGCCAGUGGCCUGGUGACCUUCGGUUGGGAUGUUAAAAAAAAAAAAAAAAAGAAGUGCUGAUGUAUAUGUAUGAGUACUACUAAAAAUAUAAAUUAAAAAAAAUUUAAAAAUGGAAAAAUAAGAAUAACGCAAACAGAAUCAAAGGUGGGAGAGCUACUGUCAUUUUGAGAAGUGGAGCAUAAAGAACAGCAGGAAAAACAGCCCAAUUCCUGGGACACCUUUUGUCCUUAAAACACUGUGGAGAUUUAAGAGUUCACAUUGCGUGACCUGGUGAGUGUUUUCUACCAUGAAGGUGCUCUGGUUGGAUUAGAGGUGGCACUUCCAUCACAUAUUCCUGCAGCCCAGACACAUUUUGGAAAUUGUGUUUGUUGAGUGAAAUCGCAUAAGGAGUCCACAUGUGAAACUUGUGAUGCCUGGCACCCAGGCGAGGUCCUGCCCCCCACACUGCCGCCUCCCGGUUCUGGUGGCCUCGACUGCAGGCGGUCCCCUGUUGUUCUGAGCAUCUCUGGUACCUACUCCCCAUCUCCCCGUUCUCCUCAUCUGGUUAUGUAACCCUUUGGGGGCACAAAAGGCAGAUGGGUGCUGGUUUAGGGGGAAAAAAAAGUGAGAUGAAACUGAUUUAAUUUGGGAAGCAAGUAGUUUCAAAUUUAGACCAAAAAAAAGUAUAUUUAAAAAAAAAUCCCGUGUUAAUAGCAAACUCCUUUUUCUUAUGAAUCGGGCCCAAAGUUUGUACAGAGUUUUAUUUUUGAAGAAAAUAUUGCAACUGUGCAUGAAACUAAAUAGCCAUGUGAUUUCUUAAAGAUUUUUUCUUUUUUUCUUUUUUUCUUUUAAUAUGAGGAAGUCUGGUGUGAAGACGGAUCAAGCAUGGGUACCUGGCUGAACAUUGUCCAUUAAGAAAACGCUUCAGGGUCAGCAUAGCUUCGGUCGAGAGUCAAGGAAAAACGUCCCUCGCUUGGAAAUGUUCUCAGAGUUUCUUCGUAGCACAGUUCUCGAAAUACAAAUGGUCAUUUUGAGACAAAAGUCUUGCCAGGGACUGAUUUCUGAAAUCAACCACCCAUGCUUGUCCCCUAGGAAAAGGAAAACAAAAAAACGAAAACGAAAACAAAAACACAGUAAUACUGAAUUUAAGUAAAUGUAUACCUCCAAAAUACUGAAAACAGCCGAAAUCAAGAAAGAAUUUGCGUUCUCAGUGAAAUACCUUUAAACCUAGCUGACAAGAACCAAGUCAGAAAAAAAGACUAACAUAACUUUGAGUAAUAUUCAUACAGUUCACUAAGCAUUAUGGAAUAGCAUGCAUUAAUAUUGUACGGUUAUUUUACAUCACCUAUACCAGAAGAUCCUGACUGACAGACAGCGAAGGCUACCGGUGUAGAAAAAUCUUACUUCAGAAGAGCAAUAUAAUACAGAUUUCACAGGCACUACAUUUUAAUAUAUCAGGUAUUAUGCUGGUUUUCUUAUAAUUCUUUCUGUCCUAAAGCUGGCAUUAUAACAAUGACCAAAAAGGCAAGGAUUGAAGUAAACGGAAAGUAGAUACCAAAGUUGAUAUAGUUUUUUUUUUUCUUCAGAUAGAUUAGUGCAUAGUUCUCAUGCAGAUAAACACUGCUAUGCAUUUACACUGUUGGAAAGCAGAGUGAAUUGAGCCCAAGUUGUCACAUUGGUGUAAAUCAUUUUGUCAGCCUGUAAUAGCACCAUGUAAUGGAUUUGCAUUAAACAUUAAAUUGAUUUCAGAAUUGGUGACACAGUAUUCACUACAGUUAAGUGCUAUGGAACAGCUUCAAUGUUACCUGCUAUCUAUCAAAGCAAUUUUCAUCCCACUGCUUUUUUAUUGGAAAAAAUAAAAGGAAAACAUACACGACACUAAUUAGGCAAAUGCACAGCCUUGGACGUGGAGAAGGCAGAGCGGGUUUACUGUCAAACAGUAAAUACAUGCAUUGACUUCAGGACAAAAUUGACCUUGGAAGCCGAUUUGAACGAAAGCUCUGCCGGUGGGCAGUGCAGCUUUCUGAGACUGUCCUGGGACAGGUCUCCGGGGGUGGGUGGUGAGGUGCCACUGAAGCUCUCCUUACACUACCAUGCCAGUUGUGUUUUAAAUUUGUUCUAUGGAGGCCUGCUACCGGGAAAAAAAGAACAAAACACUUAAAGAAAUAAAAAAGAAAGAAAGAAAAAAGAAAAGAAAGAAAGAAAGAAAGAAAGAAAGAAAGAAAGAAAGAAAGAAAGAAAGAAAGAGAAAGAAAGAAAGAAAGAAAAGAAAGAAAGAGACAGAGAGACGACCACCACUAUGGACAAAAAGAUAUUUCCAGAGACAUGAUGCCAAGUACAUUAAAUGACAUUCCUAGAAAUUCCUCCCCCCCCAAAAAAAAAUCACAAGUAAAAAAAAUGUUUUUCUUAAUCCAGAUUUCAUAAAUUACAACAGAAUUCAAAGUUUAUGGGGAUAAGGGUUUGAAAAGUAAAAGACGAACUUUUUGAGAUGGGUUUUGCAUAUUCCUGUGGGCUGACUGAACACCGUGACUCUGGAAAAUGUGGGUUCCCUUACACUUCGACUGUCAGAGAAUGAAGAAUGCAAGCGUGGGGAGGUGUACCUGCUGGCCGGAGGGGGAAGGGCGCCCACGCCCGACUCUGGGUGGAGGGGAGAGUGGGGAGGGUCUGACACCAAUACCCGCCAGGCCAGGGAGUGAAGAGACAGAAAAGUUUGCUCAGAGGAAAGUAAAAGGCUCUGGGAUGGAGAGAGUGGCAUUAGCGGGAGGGCCUCUGCCCAUGAAUGAUCAGAAAAGGAGCAUUUUGGUGGCAGGGGAGUGGAUCAGGGUGAAAAAAAGAAAAAGCAUACAGAAAAAUGAUCAGAUUUAGUGUUUGUGCCUCUGACUUCAGUUCCCAAAGAAAAAACACGGAGAGGGAUUUGGGGGACUUCUCUUUGCUGAUAUUGUCAAUGCCAUUUGACGGGAGAGAAAAAAUUCAAAUGUGUCUCGGAAUCAAGGGCGGGGCCUUGGAAGUUGGGCCAGCCCUCAGCCUGUCAGUCUACACACCCCAGGUAGCAAAGUCUUCCUCAAACAUCUUCGCUUGGCUUUCAUCUAAAAAGGUAAACACUCGGAUUGUUGGUGUUUCUUUUUUCCUGCUUGAUCACAACUGAACUACAGUUUCCUGCUGCUUUCUGGACAAUGAAACAUUAACAAAAAUGUAACUUAGUGUAUUUAAUACUUGACCCCUGUUCGUUAUCACCCUAGACUGCCUCCUUAAUGUUUUAAAGCCUUUAAAACAUUUUUUUUCCUGCAAAUCUUGUUCAGAGUUCCCUAAUUUUAGCUUCAUCAAACUUAAUACAACAAAAUACCUUCAAAAAUACAGCAUACCUGUAACGUCCAUUUACAAUGGUUUUUCAGUAGACCUAUACUUCACAAGCAUAGGAAUAUGCUAUACCAUUGAGAGAAAAAAUAACUGUAUUUAAAUACUUACAAAAAAAAAAAAAAAGGAAACAGGAAAGUUUUAAACUUAAAUCCAGUUCCCAAAGGGGGGUGGGGGCAGGAAAGAAAGAAAAGCAAUUCUAUGAACGCUGCCUUUAUAAUGGACAAUCAGAAAUUUCACUAGGCUAAUUUGACAGAAAUUUUUCCUCAUUUAAACAACAUUACAAAAGUCCUGCAUUAUAAAAUAGGGUAGAAUAAAUCAGUGUAAUCAAUAAAACUAUACAACAAUACAAAUUACAUAU
RNAcentral lists this long non-coding RNA (4379 nucleotides) under Canis lupus familiaris (dog). RNAcentral's name for it is "lncRNA (ENSCAFG00000053582.1)". Lineage: Eukaryota; Metazoa; Chordata; Mammalia; Carnivora; Canidae. The record is from RNAcentral.